GAUGAAGAACGCAGUAAAAUGCGAUACUUGGUGUGAAUUGCAGAAUCCCGUGAACCAUCGAGUUUUUGAACGCAAGUUGCGCCCGAAGCCUUUUGGCCGAGGGCACGUCUGCCUGGGCGUCACGCAUCGCGUCGCCCCCCACAAUUCUCCGUAAAGGGAACGUGUGUUUUGGGGGCGGAUAUUGGUCUCCCGUGCUCAUGGCGUGGUUGGCCGAAAUAAGAGUCCUUUCGAUGGACGCACGAACUAGUGGUGGUCGUAAAAACCCUCGUCUUUUGUUUCGUGCUGUUGCUCGCAAGGUAAACUCUUUAAAAACCCCAAUGUGUCGUCUCUUGACGACGCUUCGACCGCGACCCCAGGUCAGGCGGGACUACCCGCUGAGUUUAAGCAUAUCAAUAAGCGGAGGA
This 404-nucleotide unclassified non-coding RNA is filed under the name soil metagenome. RNAcentral describes it as "partial contains 5.8S ribosomal RNA, internal transcribed spacer 2, and large subunit ribosomal RNA". The stretch from base 1 to 122 matches the Rfam family "5.8S ribosomal RNA", at positions 35 to 154 of the family's 154-position model. The record is from RNAcentral.